This 1618-nucleotide long non-coding RNA is filed under the name Paramuricea clavata. Lineage: Eukaryota; Metazoa; Cnidaria; Anthozoa; Malacalcyonacea; Plexauridae. The record is from RNAcentral.
GUCUGCUAUAUACAGCCUUCUUCUCGAAAGUGGACAAACAAGAAACAAUUGUUUCCGCUAAAAAAAUCACAUGGAGAAACAAAAUAUGUUUCUGAAUUUAUUGGGAAAUAUGUUUGCUUCGUGACUAUUGCCUCUUAAUAAACAUAUACCCAUAUGAUGGCACGUGUAGUUGACCGACUAUUGCAAGAGCCGGAAUAACGAGAAGCGAAACAAAUGACAACUUAAGUUUGUUAAGACCUGAUUCCACGACGGCGAAAUUCUUCGUGAGAAAUUCUUCGUGAGAAAUUGUGUCUGCGACAUACGGAUGGUUGCACGUGAGUGAUUCUAUUGAAUUUUCCACUUUUUCCGCUUUCGCAGUGAUUAGAACUGACUUCUACCCACUAGCUGGUAAAGCGAAUUUUUUCCUUGCGAAGCCUAAUUUAUCUUUACUGCGCAUGCACCUAUAAUUCAUUCCGCGCGAAAUUUUUCACAUUUCGCCGAAGAAAACGCCCGUGGAAUCAGGCCUUUUUUUUCCCUUUUUUUUUCAGGCCUUUUUUUACGUCGUAAACUCUGUUGACAUUGUGUAUAUAACUAUACUGUAUUUUACUGUGUAUGUCAAUUGUUAAAUACUAAUAAUGUCAAUUGUUAAAUAUUGUAAUGUACAACAUACUACGUAUUGUAAUACUUGUUGUGUCGUAUUAUGUACUCCGUUGUAUAUAUUGUAUACUUUGUUAUCUUAUAAUCAAACUCACUUGUAGCAUAGAAGAGCCACUAUGUGGAAAUGCUAUUAAAUCAUUAUUAUUAUUAUUAUUAUUAAUAUCCAUUGCAAAACUGUAACAUUCCAAACAUUCCAUACAUUCUAUUAUACAAGAGCGCGCCUGCAAAAUGUAGACGUUUUCAGUAGUGAUCUCCGUUAUGUACAUUUCGUUUUAAGUCAGACACCUAGCUCUAUCCCCAUAAUAUUGCACGAAGCAUGCAAAGUUUGCAUAACUUUUUUGGGCCACGACAAACCAUAGCACACGUGUCAUAAAUGUGUCAAAAGCAUAGAAAAACUGCGUUCAUGGAAACAUAAAAUCAUAGCGUUAGAAGAUGGAAUCACCACCGGGCCAAAGUCAAAUUUUGUCAUGGGCACCCUAAUUUCCCUGGGUACUGUUCAGGGUAUGUUAGUUUUGGCAUUUUUGAAUAUCAAUUGUAGCUGUUUUACGGUUACACAUUAUUAUAACAGUGUGAUCAGACAUUUUCAGGGCGUGCUUCUGCUCGGCUAAACUUGCACAAAAAUGUGCAGUGAUAAAACAUUUUAAUAAAUUACGUAUGAUAUAAAACCAUGUAUCAGUUAAUAAAACAGCAUUCAUUGUCAAGAUUGAAGACACUAGAUUGGAGUGUCGAAACGUUGGGUCGUGGUGAAUGCAGUUUGACUGGGCUUUGCAUUCAUUUAUCAAAACCAGAGAAGCGAGCGAAAACAUGACUGAUAUUAUACCUGGUUGCCGUGAACUCACAAACUUUAAAUCAUUAAAUUUAUUACAUUCUUUGUCAAUGGUGCUCACAAGAUUGAUUUGUAAAAACAGCCUAAAUCGUAUACAAUUGCCAUUGGUCAACCCCGAGAACUAGGUUCGUUUCUCCUGGCUAAACAAAGUGUGCA